Humulus lupulus (European hop) is the source of this 294-nucleotide long non-coding RNA. RefSeq lists it as uncharacterized. The record is from RefSeq and is a predicted model, not a curated record. The transcript is spliced from 2 exons. Lineage: Eukaryota; Viridiplantae; Streptophyta; Magnoliopsida; Rosales; Cannabaceae.
GGGGUCUCUACUAUUAGAGUACCAAGCUUGCUGGCCCAAAAUGGUCACCAUUUGCUUCAUGGAUAACUGGCUGGAGAAAAAUAUCUCUUUCUCCAUCAAUUGGAGGAGAAAAGGAUACUUAAUUUUGAAGGCUCUGUGUUGGGCAGCUAUAGAAUAUUUUGUGCUAAAAGUAGUAACUUUUCAAUAUGUUGAAUAUUUAAGACUACUUAAAUACUUAAAGAAUAUUUUGUUGUUGAUGACAAUGUUGAAUGUUUUAAACUAAUUUGUGGAUUGUUAAUACAAUGUUGAAUGUUU